RNAcentral lists this ribosomal RNA (477 nucleotides) under uncultured Planctomycetota bacterium. RNAcentral describes it as "bacterial SSU rRNA". It matches the Rfam family "Bacterial small subunit ribosomal RNA", at positions 365 to 832 of the family's 1533-position model. The record is from RNAcentral. Lineage: Bacteria; Pseudomonadati; Planctomycetota.
UUCGCAAUGCCCGAAAGGGUGACGAAGCGACGCCGCGUGUGGGAAGAAGGCCUUCGGGUUGUAAACCACUGUCGGGAGUUAAGAAAUGUAAGGGUGUAAAUAGCGCCUUUGCUUGACAAAGGCUCCGGAGGAAGCCACGGCUAACUCUGUGCCAGCAGCCGCGGUAAUACAGAGGCGGCAAGCGUUGUUCGGAAUUAUUGGGCGUAAAGAGCACGUAGGCGGCUUUGCAAGUCAGUUGUGAAAGCCUUCCGCUUAACGGAAGAACAGCAGCUGAUACUACAGAGCUUGAGUACGGGAGGGGAGAGUGGAACUUCUGGUGGAGCGGUGAAAUGCGUAGAUAUCAGAAGGAACAUCGGCGGCGAAGGCGACUCUCUGGUCCGUAACUGACGCUGAGUGUGCGAAAGCUAGGGGAGCAAACGGGAUUAGAUACCCCGGUAGUCCUAGCCGUAAACGAUGGGCACUAAGUAGAGGGGUUUU